GAUGAACGCUGGCGGCGUGCCUAAUACAUGCGAGUCGAGCGAACGGACGAGAAGCUUGCUUCCCUGAUGUUAUCGGCGGACGGGUGAGUAACACGUGGUUAACCUACCUAUAAGACUGGGAUAACUUCGGGAAACCGUAGCUAAUACCGGAUAAUAUUUUGAACCUCAUGGUUCAAACGUGAAAGACGGUCUUGCUGUCACUUAUAGAUUGAUCCGCGCUGCAUCAGCUAGUUGGUAAGGUAACGGCUUACCAAGGCAACGAUGCAUAGCCGACCUCAGGGCGUGGACGGCUAGACGGGAAGUGAGAAACGGCAGAGACUCCUGCGGUGAGCAGCAGUAGAGAAUCUUACGCGAUGCGGGAGUGGCGGACAGUGCAACGCGGCGGGAGUGAUGAAGGUGCACGGAUCGGAAAGCGAUGAUAGUAGGGGGGAUGAAAUGUGUUAGUAACUGUGAUGAUAAUGACAGUACCGAGAGAGAAAGCCACGGCUAACUACGUG
RNAcentral lists this ribosomal RNA (497 nucleotides) under uncultured bacterium. Its description in RNAcentral is "partial 16S ribosomal RNA". It matches the Rfam family "Bacterial small subunit ribosomal RNA", at positions 28 to 507 of the family's 1533-position model. The record is from RNAcentral.